AUACGUAGGUGGCGAGCGUUGUCCGGAAUUACUGGGCGUAAAGAGCGCGUAGGCGGUUAAUUAAGUCAGAUGUGAAAACCCGAGGCUUAACUUCGGGAUUGCAUUUGAAACUGGUUAACUUGAGUACAGGAGAGGUAAGUGGAAUUCCUAGUGUAGCGGUGAAAUGCGUAGAUAUUAGGAGGAACACCAGUGGCGAAGGCGACUUACUGGACUGUAACUGACGCUGAGGCGCGAGAGCGUGGGGAGCAAACAGGAUUAGAUACCCUGGUAGUCCACGCUGUAAACGAUGGAUACUAGGUGUGGGAGGUAUCGACCCCUUCCGUGCCGCAGUUAACGCAUUAAGUAUCCCGCCUGGGGAGUACGGCCGCAAGGCUGAA
RNAcentral lists this ribosomal RNA (377 nucleotides) under uncultured bacterium. Its description in RNAcentral is "bacterial SSU rRNA". It matches the Rfam family "Bacterial small subunit ribosomal RNA", at positions 523 to 898 of the family's 1533-position model. The record is from RNAcentral.